GUGACCCUACGGGGGGCAGCAGUGGGGAAUAUUGCACAAUGGGGGAAACCCUGAUGCGGCGACGCCGCGUGAGUGAAGAAGUAUUUCGGUAUGUAAAGCUCUAUCAGCAGGGAAGAAAAUGACGGUACCUGACUAAGAAGCCCCGGCUAACUACAUGCCAGCAGCCGCGGUAAUACGUAGGGGGCAAGCGUUAUCCGGAUUUACUGGGUGUAAAGGGAGCGUAGGUGGCAUGGUAAGCCAGAAGUGAAAACCCAGGGCUCAACUCUGUGUCUUGCUUUU
Molecule: ribosomal RNA, 279 nt
Filed under: uncultured bacterium
Lineage: Bacteria
Description: partial 16S ribosomal RNA
Rfam family: Bacterial small subunit ribosomal RNA
Source: RNAcentral